UGACCUCGGAUCAGGUAGGAAUACCCGCUGAACUUAAGCAUAUCAAUAAGCGGAGGAAAAGAAACCAACAGGGAUUGCCCCAGUAACGGCGAGUGAAGCGGCAACAGCUCAAAUUUGAAAUCUGGCCCUUUUGGGUCCGAGUUGUAAUUUGUAGAGGAUGCUUUUGGCAAGGUGCCGCCCGAGUUCCCUGGAACGGGACGCCACAGAGGGUGAGAGCCCCGUCUGGCUGGCCACCGAGCCUCUGUAAAGCUCCUUCGACGAGUCGAGUAGUUUGGGAAUGCUGCUCAAAAUGGGAGGUAUAUGUCUUCUAAAGCUAAAUAUUGGCCAGAGACCGAUAGCGCACAAGUAGAGUGAUCGAAAGAUGAAAAGCACCUUGAAAAGAGGGUUAAAUAGUACGUGAAAUUGUUGAAAGGGAAGCGCUUGUGACCAGACUUGGGCGCGGCGGAUCAUCCGGGGUUCUCCCCGGUGCACUUCGCCGUGUCCAGG
This 486-nucleotide ribosomal RNA is filed under the name uncultured Trichoderma. RNAcentral's name for it is "eukaryotic LSU rRNA". It matches the Rfam family "Eukaryotic large subunit ribosomal RNA", at positions 1 to 495 of the family's 3401-position model. Lineage: Eukaryota; Fungi; Ascomycota; Sordariomycetes; Hypocreales; Hypocreaceae. The record is from RNAcentral.